Non-coding RNA from Oryzias latipes (Japanese medaka), 3571 nucleotides. Lineage: Eukaryota; Metazoa; Chordata; Actinopteri; Beloniformes; Adrianichthyidae. The record is from RefSeq and is a predicted model, not a curated record.
UUCAAAAACUACUGGCCCUGUGGGCCAGUGCAAAUUUCUGGGCUAUGUCAACCCCUGAGAUGGCUGAGGGAUUUCCGUUCUUCUUUUUAGCUUUUUGUUCUAGCAAUGCUUGGGCUGGGUGCAUACUUGAUCACGGCGUAGUCUUGGUGAUUUGGUCCUGGACAAAUCAGAAGGUAAACCAAAUGCAAUAGUAAUUGAUGUAAAAGAAAUUCAAAAGAGUAACCACAUGUGUGACUCCCCUGUUGCAUUAUAGGAGGAUAAACUGAUUUAAAGUAAGAGAUUAUGUAUAGGUAAAAUUGGUCAAGCUGAAGACCUGGUUUCAGCCUAAAGGCUCCUAUCAAGUACUUCUGACCACACAAACAGUGGUUAAAAACUUGCUAAUUGACCUAGCUGGAUCCACCUGUCUCAUUGUAAAUUCUGUAAGUUUCCUGAAGGGUCACCCACCGCUGCAGAUGAGGCCCAAGUCCGGCUACAAAGGGGGACGGGACGUAUAGUGUCCCUGACGUCUCAAACCUGUGAAGCUCUUUAUAAGGGCUCUGCAGCACUUAGGGAGAGACCUGAAAGGACUUACAGACUUGAACUGAGCAGAGACGACACAGAGCACAAUUUUCAAAUAAAAAAAAUAAAAAUCAUGGGCCUUGCAGUUUUCAAGGAACCGUAGCCUUUUUGUUUGUCCUGACAAUUGUGAUUGUGUUCUUCUAGCUUAUAGCAUUUUGGAGCAAAACAAUGAAGCACUGAAGCCCCCACCAAAGAAAAGCCCACACACUUUGUAAACCAUGAGCCCCUUGACACGUUUUAGAGGAGUCAAAGUCCUUGACGUACAGCAAUUAACUGUAGGUUGUUCUUAAUUUGUUAUUUAUUUUUCAUCCUCAAAAAGUAUAGUUAAAAUACCGAUGAGCAGUAUCAAUAAUAGUAGUAGUACCGUUAAAACCUUGAUAUCCAUCCCUAGUCCCAGGCCUCUACGCCAAAUAGUUGCUCCACUCCCUGAAUUAAAUGAAGCAUGUAUAGUUUAAAUGAUGAGAACAUUAACCACGAAAACUUCAUGCUCACCUUUGGACAAAAUGUUUGCACCAAAAAAAACAGAAAAGAGACUUUAGCACCAAUGUUACUGCAAACCAUUUUACUUGUUUUGUCUUUGCAGGAAGUAGGCCUGGGCGAUUAAAUGAAGUAAUUCAAUUUUUUUGUUACGGGCGAUUUAAAAAAUAACUAAAUCGAGUUUUUGUGUAAUGCCGCAUUUUUGGGCUCCCUCUAGCUUCCCCAGCGUUAGUUUCACAUGCCAGUAUGGCAAGCGACAAACAUACCAAACAGCAAGCGACAACAUGGCUACCGGUGAGAGUGGAAAGUUUGUUACCAAGAAAAGAAUAAAAUCAUCUGCUGUUUGGAACUGGUGUGGUUUUCCUGCGAAAGAUGUGAAGCAAGAGACCCCAUGCUGCAACUUUUGCCUAAAGCCUAUCACAAUCAACGAUAGCAGCACCACAAACUUAUUCCAACACCUGAAACAGAGACAUCUAGCCGAAUAUGAAAAAAGACACUCUCCGAGAAGAACAAAACUGCAGUCACCAAAAAAGACAUUGCUAAAAAACAGCUAACUGUAGCCGAAUCCUUUGCACAAGGCACCUGCAGCGCAUAUGGCAGGAAAGGAGAACGGUGGAGAACAGUCACCGAAGCGGUCGCUUUGCAUUUGGCCAAAGACAUGGUACCCAUAUAGACCGUGGAGAAGAUGGGGUUUAUUAAUUUAAUUAAAACAUUAGACCCCAGAUAUGAGCUACCCAGCUGCAAGUACUUCAGUGAAGUCGCCUUGCCCCAGCUGUACAACAACACACCAAAGAAAGUCAGCACAGAAAUGGAGGAGCUGUCCUUUUAUUCGGCAACAACCGACAUGUGGUCCAGUCGGACUAUGCAACCUUAUGAGUUUAACGGUGCAUUUCAUUAACGAUGCGUGGGAUUUGCGGAGUACUUCCCUCCAAAGGUCAUACUUUCCCCAGGACCACACCAGGGAACUUGUUGCCAAGGGAUUGAGAGACACUCAAAAAACUCCCUACUGACAGCGGCACCAACAUGAUUAAAGCCCUGAGAGUGAACGGAUUGCCAAAUCUCCAGUGCUUUGUACACAGACUACACAGCGCUAUUGGCCAGGGAGUGAUUCUAGUAUGGGCCACAUUGAUGACAGCCUGUGCUCAUCCACCCACGAUGUCACCACCCCUCUGACGCAAAGCACAGCAGACACCUGGUGGUGCUGUGGUGGUGACACCCUCUGCAGCGCGUUUCUGGGAAAGAUCAAGACCUAUCAAAGAGAGCAGUACGUCACAAACCGUGAGAGAUGACGCCACCUACAUCUAUGCCAUUGGGGUCCUCAGAAGUGUUCCAGACAAGUACAAGAUGGCAGACAAAGUUUCAGCUGGCUUUGAGAACGUCUCAAUCAUAAGUGCACGGUUCCCUGUUGCACCUAACAAAGCAGAGGAGCCCUGGACAUGCUUCUGGCUGAGAAAGACUGAAGACAGUAGAAACGUCGGAUGACGCCCCUUCAGAUGUUUAGAGGAGCUGCAGAAGGAGGUUCUGGAGGGUGUCCAGGUCCUGACAGGACUUCCUCACAGCUCCAGAGUCAUGCUGAUGGCACUGUUAGCACCGUUGCUGCCCACCGCUGCCACCCCCUCUCAACCCCCUGCACAGGGUGUCUACUUUUACGUCCUCACUGCUCUCCGUACCGUUCUUAUGAUGUCCUCUCUCACGUCCUCUUUACCGAAGUCACACAAACGCAUUAAGCGCACCGCACCAUAGGGCAAUGCUUACAUUUUGGAGAAGAUUCAGGACUCUAAGACUUUUUCAGUUUGUCAAGAUGGAUCGACAACGGCAGUGGCACACGGAAAAGAUGCAUUUUAAACAAAAGUGGGAGGAGGAUUAUUUUUUUGCAGAAAUCUCUUCUAAGGCUGUUUGUCUUAUUUGCCAGCAAUCCGUGGCCGUACUGAAAGAGUACAAUAUACGUCGCCACUACCACUACUACGAGACUGAAGACGCUGUCUUCUCCAGAUACAAAGGAAACUUGGCACACUAACCCCAGCCUGACGGAAGUGAAUGUAGAGGUGGACAGGUUGCCAGAAUAUGGAGAACUUCUCAGCAACUUAAACAAGGAGUUUGAUUUCCGCUUUGUGGACUUUAAGAAGACCGCAGAUGACAUGGAACUUUUUUCUCAGCCCUUCAGCAUCACUGACGGGAACUCCUGAUGCACCUGCAGCUCCUCUCCACUCAUCCAGUCUGGAUUUAAGACCAGCGUUUCCAGCCUUUUCCUACAAGUCUGUCAGCUAACUUCCAUAGAUUCCCUCCUGGAUCAUCGUCGUUUUUUUUGGGACAGCAGUGACUCCUCACCACAUCACUCCUCCUCUUUGACCACGACAGAAUCAGGAGGAACCACUCAUUACAGCAGCCAGUAGCAUAAUAAAAAAUGUAAUAAUAAAUAACAUAAAAUGUUGUGUUUAUUGAAGGAAAAUAUCCCCCAUUUUGAAAUGUUGUUUGGAACAAACAAAGAUUUACAUUACUUUAAGUUGACUUUUAAUAAAACAUUGAUUGAGAUGAA